RNAcentral lists this transfer RNA (72 nucleotides) under Camelus bactrianus (Bactrian camel). It matches the Rfam family "tRNA". Rfam says of the family: Transfer RNA (tRNA) molecules are approximately 80 nucleotides in length. RNAcentral also lists the same sequence under 2 other names. The record is from Rfam by way of RNAcentral. Lineage: Eukaryota; Metazoa; Chordata; Mammalia; Artiodactyla; Camelidae.
GAGGGUAUAGUUCAGUGGCAGAGUGCAUGCUUAGCAUGCACAAGGUCCUGGGUUCAACUCUCAGUACCUUCA